This 670-nucleotide ribosomal RNA is filed under the name uncultured bacterium. RNAcentral describes it as "bacterial SSU rRNA". It matches the Rfam family "Bacterial small subunit ribosomal RNA", at positions 165 to 852 of the family's 1533-position model. The record is from RNAcentral.
AAUACCGCAUAAGCGCACAGAGCCGCAUGGCUCAGUGUGAAAAACUCCGGUGGUGUAAGAUGGAUCCGCGUCUGAUUAGCUGGUUGGCGGGGUAGAAGCCCACCAAGGCGACGAUCAGUAGCCGGCCUGAGAGGGUGAACGGCCACAUUGGGACUGAGACACGGCCCAAACUCCUACGGGAGGCAGCAGUGGGGAAUAUUGCACAAUGGGGGAAACCCUGAUGCAGCAACGCCGCGUGAGUGAAGAAGUCAUUCGUGAUGUAAAGCUCUAUCAGCAGGGAAGAAAAUGACGGUACCUGAGUAAGAAGCCCCGGCUAACUACGUGCCAGCAGCCGCGGUAAUACGUAGGGGGCAAGCGUUAUCCGGAUUUACUGGGUGUAAAGGGAGCGUAGACGGCCAGACAAGUCUGAAGUGAAAAUCCAGCGCUUAACGUUGGAAGUGCUUUGGAAACUGCCGGGCUAGAGUGCAGGAGGGGCAGGCGGAAUUCCUAGUGUAGCGGUGAAAUGCGUAGAUAUUAGGAGGAACACCAGUGGCGAAGGCGGCCUGCUGGACUGCAACUGACGUUGAGGCUCGAAGGCGUGGGGAGCAAACAGGAUUAGAUACCCUGGUAGUCCACGCGGUAAACGAUGAUUACUAGGUGUCGGGGGGCUAGAGCCCUUCGGUGCCGUCGC